RNAcentral lists this ribosomal RNA (385 nucleotides) under uncultured bacterium. RNAcentral's name for it is "bacterial SSU rRNA". It matches the Rfam family "Bacterial small subunit ribosomal RNA", at positions 28 to 414 of the family's 1533-position model. The record is from RNAcentral.
GACGAACGCUGGCGGCGUGCUUAACACAUGCAAGUCGAGCGGUAAGGCCCUUUCGGGGGUACGACGAGCGGCGAACGGGUGAGUAACACGUGGGUGACCUGCCCUCAGCUCUGGGAUAAGCCUGGGAAACCGGGUCUAAUACUGGAUAUGACUCCAUGACGCAUGUUGUGGGGUGGAAAGCCUUGUGCGGCUGAGGAUGGGCCCGCGGCCUAUCAGCUUGUUGGUGGGGUGAGGCCUACCAAGGCGACGACGGGUAGCCGGCCUGAGAGGGCGACCGGCCACACUGGGACUGAGACACGGCCCAGACUCCUACGGGAGGCAGCAGUGGGGAAUCUUGCGCAAUGGGCGAAAGCCUGACGCAGCGACGCCGCGUGAGGGAUGACGG